GGCCUGCGGAGGGAUCAUUGCUGGAACGCGCCCCAGGCGCACCCAGAAACCCUUUGUGAACUUAUACCUUACUGUUGCCUCGGCGCUAGCUGGUCCUUCGGGGCCCCUCACCCUCGGGUGUUGAGACAGCCCGCCGGCGGCCAACCUAACUCUUGUUUUUACACUGAAACUCUGAGAAUAAAACAUAAAUGAAUCAAAACUUUCAACAACGGAUCUCUUGGUUCUGGCAUCGAUGAAGAACGCAGCGAAAUGCGAUAAGUAAUGUGAAUUGCAGAAUUCAGUGAAUCAUCGAAUCUUUGAACGCACAUUGCGCCCUCUGGUAUUCCGGAGGGCAUGCCUGUUCGAGCGUCAUUUCAACCCUCAAGCCUGGCUUGGUGAUGGGGCACUGCUUUUACCCAAAAGCAGGCCCUGAAAUUCAGUGGCGAGCUCGCCAGGACCCCGAGCGCAGUAGUUAAACCCUCGCUCUGGAAGGCCCUGGCGGUGCCCUGCCGUUAAACCCCCAACUUCUGAAAAUUUGACCUCGGAUCAGGUAGGAAUACCCGCUGAACUUAAGCAUAUCAA
RNAcentral lists this ribosomal RNA (561 nucleotides) under Diaporthe sp. RNAcentral's name for it is "eukaryotic LSU rRNA". The stretch from base 198 to 351 matches the Rfam family "5.8S ribosomal RNA". The record is from RNAcentral. Lineage: Eukaryota; Fungi; Ascomycota; Sordariomycetes; Diaporthales; Diaporthaceae.